Molecule: ribosomal RNA, 305 nt
Filed under: uncultured bacterium
Lineage: Bacteria
Description: bacterial SSU rRNA
Rfam family: Bacterial small subunit ribosomal RNA
Source: RNAcentral
GUCCUACGGGAGGCAGCAGUGGGGAAUAUUGCACAAUGGGGGGAACCCUGAUGCAGCGACGCCGCGUGGGUGAAGGAGCACCUCGGUGCGUAAAGCCUUAUCGGCAGGGAAGAAAAGCGAACAGGUUCGCCUGGACGGUACCUGACUAAGAAGCCCCGGCUAACUACGUGCCAGCAGCCGCGGUAAUACGUAGGGGGCAAGCGUUAUCCGGAUUUACUGGGUGUAAAGGGAGCGUAGACGGCGAUGCAAGUCUGAAGUGAAAGGCGGGGGCCCAACCCCCGGACUGCUUUGGAAACUGGAUGGCG